Molecule: ribosomal RNA, 253 nt
Filed under: uncultured prokaryote
Description: partial 16S ribosomal RNA
Rfam family: Bacterial small subunit ribosomal RNA
Source: RNAcentral
ACGUAGGGGGCGAGCGUUGUCCGGAGUUACUGGGCGUAAAGGGCGCGCAGGCGGUCUGGUAAGUUUGGAGUGACAGUGCUCGGCUUAACUGAGCAAGGCCUUCGAAAACUGUCAGACUUGAGCACUCAAGAGGGACAUAGAAUUCCGGGUGGAGUGGUGAAAUGCGUAGAUAUCCGGAGGAAUACCAAAGGCGAAGGCAGUGUCCUGGGGAGUGUCUGACGCUCAGGCGCGAAAGCUAGGGGAGCGAACAGGA